GUGCUUGCUUCGGCAGCACAUAUACUAAAAUUGGAACGAUACAGAGAUUAGCAUGGCCCCUGCUCAAGGAUGACACGAAAAUUCGUGAAGCGUUCCAUAAAUUA
Molecule: small nuclear RNA, 104 nt
Filed under: Castor canadensis (American beaver)
Lineage: Eukaryota; Metazoa; Chordata; Mammalia; Rodentia; Castoridae
Source: RNAcentral